This 436-nucleotide unclassified non-coding RNA is filed under the name Hevea brasiliensis (rubber tree). Lineage: Eukaryota; Viridiplantae; Streptophyta; Magnoliopsida; Malpighiales; Euphorbiaceae. The record is from RNAcentral.
AUCUGAGUGAAACAUAGCACGUUCAAGGAUAGCAAGAGAUAGAUCUAAUGAAUUUCCACCAUUGUUGUAGAUUUCCAGAUCAAGGGCCAUCACUUUUCCCUCAUUUGUGAACCCAACCUUAUACUUUCCGAGAAAGCUAUGGCGCUGCCCUGUAAUCAUCAUGUCUGUGUCCCUGUCUAAUGUGAUCUUCACAGGCCGAUUCAACAAAAAUGAGGGGACUGCUGCUGCUGCAGCAAACGUAGCCGACCUUGUUUCCUUCCCCCCAAAUCCACCACCAAUUCGUUUGGUUUUGCAAACUACUUUGGACAUUGGAAUCCCAAGCACACUAGAAACAUACUUCUGGUGCUUUUGAGGAGCUUGUGUUGAUGAAACCAGAUGAACUUCAUUACCAGAAUCCGAUGUCCAUACCACACUACUAUUUGGCUCCAAGUAAAAG